Molecule: unclassified non-coding RNA, 430 nt
Filed under: soil metagenome
Description: partial contains 5.8S ribosomal RNA, internal transcribed spacer 2, and large subunit ribosomal RNA
Rfam family: 5.8S ribosomal RNA (bases 1-120)
Source: RNAcentral
GAUGAAGAACGCAGCGAAAUGCGAUACGUAAUGUGAAUUGCAGAAUUCAGUGAAUCAUCGAAUCUUUGAACGCAUAUUGCGCUCUCUGGUAUUCCGGAGAGCAUGCUUGUUUGAGUAUCAGUAAACACCUCAACUCCCUUUUCUUUUUUGAAAUUGGAGCUGGACUUGAGUGAUCCCAACGCUUUCUUCCAAGAAAGUGGCGGGUUGCUUGAAAUGCAGGUGCAGCUGAACUUUUCUCUGAGCUAUAAGCAUAUCUAUUUAGUCUGCCUAAAAAACAGAUUAUUACGUUUGCUGCAGCUAACAUAAAGGAGACUAGUUCUUGUGCUGACUGAUGCAGGAUUCACAGAGACAGCUUCGGCUGACUUUGUAAACUCGAUCUCAAAUCAAGUAAGACUACCCGCUGAACUUAAGCAUAUCAAUAAGCGGAGGA